RNAcentral lists this long non-coding RNA (1531 nucleotides) under Anas zonorhyncha (Eastern spot-billed duck). RNAcentral describes it as "lncRNA (ENSAZOG00000002062.1)". Lineage: Eukaryota; Metazoa; Chordata; Aves; Anseriformes; Anatidae. The record is from RNAcentral.
GAAUGGCAAACAGAAAUGCAUUACUGAGGAAAAGGGCUACCCCUCAUAUCUCACAGGGGCCAGCUCACCAGCAGAUGUGUUUUCAACCUGCCAACAACAAAUGCCAGGCAGACAACAUCUUGACAAGUUGAAAGCUCUGGUGUUCGUGACAGGUUCUUCUAGGACAAAUUCAUUUUGAAGAGUGGGGAGGCUGGGAAGAUUAACCCUGUCUUUAAUUUUCUGUCAGCUGCAGAAUCCCAUUGCAAAGAUGUGGUAACAGAUUGAACAAUUUGCUCAUCCAGACAUCUCCCAAUGGCCAGGAUUUCCACAAAGUGAGAACUACAAAUCUCUCUGAGCAACUGCGGCUGACCCUGUCUCUGUUAUGGGAAAAAGUAAUCAGUAGCCAAACACCUCCAGAGCUCCGUGAGCUGGGAGAAGGCUUUAUUGGAUCAAAACCCCUCUUUCAUGAGCUCAUACUCUGGAGGGCACUUGCAGUUUCGUAUGCAGAGUGUCAGAGUCGUAACCAACAUGUCUGCACCCUAGGCUGACCUCUGUAAAGCAGAGAUUUAAAAAAUGGAAAUGAAAGUGAGCACACUGUUGUGAAUGUGAUGUGCCCACUUCGCUCUUAAUCCGCUGCAGUUGUUAGUGAGACUUCGCUGCUGCAAGCUGCAGGUUGCUCACCAUCACCUGGGGACAGCUUAGCCAUUUACUGUCCUAAUGGGGCUUGAAUGCAGGGUUCAGUCUGCUGAAGUUAAAGCUUGCUAGCACCGAGGACUUUCCCUUCCUCCUUCCAAACAUAAGAUCGCUGCUUAAAAACACUUUGUGGGAAAUUCUUCCUCCCUCUUCAUGCAAUCCUACCAAGAGCACCCUGGCCUGAGCCUACCAUCAAGUUAAUAUAUGGGAGAUGUGAUGUCAUCUACAUAAUUUGUGUGCUGCAAGAAGUCAUUUUCCCAGGAGUGUUCGAGGCAGUUGUAGCUUUAAGGCCUGUGCUUCCUAAUUUAAAGAUAAAGUCAGUUGCUGGCAAUUUGUGCCUUAAAGCAAAUACUUCAAAGGACAGAGAGAAACCUUUAGUGUCCUAAGUCUCUCGGGACUCAUCCCCUUGUAUAAUACCAUGUGUUUAUUCUUGAAAUAUGUUUUACUUUAUAUGUAUAAAUAUAUAUAAGUUUGUACAUAUGUAUUUGCAGAAAAGGAUGCUGAAAGGAUUAAGGUCUGUGGACUUCAGAUAAUGAAACACUAAAAAGACCGUAACACCUAGAAUUCACGGGAUUCUGCCUCAAAGUCAAAAACCCAUAAAAGAAAACAAACCAACAAUGCUGCAGAUUUCUCUUAGUCUUGGCUCAAAAACUAGCUCUGGAGUUUUUCAAAGGCUUCUAUUCAUAGAAAAAAGUUUAUGUAACUUUUUCUUCUUCCAGCAAGUUUUCAUUUCAUAACAGUUUUAUCUCAAGAGGUAAAUGUUAAGAGGCCCUCCGCCGCCCUCAUCCUCUGGGAGAAGCUAUCACUGCAAUGUGAACUCCCAGCCUCGUAUCGUGCCCAAACACCAGGCGUCUUGAAA